This 125-nucleotide unclassified non-coding RNA is filed under the name soil metagenome. RNAcentral describes it as "partial internal transcribed spacer 1". The record is from RNAcentral.
AAGAAUUUAAAGAGUGCACUUCAUUGUGACUCGACAUUUUCUACAAUUCACCCUAGUGCACUGUAAUACCUUUUUAAUUAAACUCUACAAAGUUAUUGAAUGUAACACUUUUUUAUAAAGAAAUA